GGUCUUUUGCUUCGGUCUGCCUCAAACGAGGUAUGCACCAGUAGUAGAAGACCAUCUUCGGAGAGAACAUAGCUGUCAUUAAGUUGAUGGUUAUGGGACCUUCGUCAUUUACUGUGAGCAAAAUAGGGUGUUCAAAGCAGGCUUAUGCCGUUGAAUACAUUAGCAUGGAAUAAUAAGAUAAGACCUUGGUUUUAUUUUGUUGGUUUGGCUCCAAGGUA
RNAcentral lists this ribosomal RNA (218 nucleotides) under uncultured fungus. RNAcentral describes it as "partial small subunit ribosomal RNA". The stretch from base 66 to 218 matches the Rfam family "Eukaryotic small subunit ribosomal RNA", at positions 709 to 864 of the family's 1831-position model. The record is from RNAcentral. Lineage: Eukaryota; Fungi.